Molecule: ribosomal RNA, 110 nt
Filed under: Gopherus agassizii (Agassiz's desert tortoise)
Lineage: Eukaryota; Metazoa; Chordata; Testudines; Testudinidae
Source: RNAcentral
UUACACCAAAUUCUUGCACCCUGAACACACCUGAUCUCAGAAGCUAAGCAAGGUCAGGCUGGUUAAUAUUUGGAUGGGAAACCUCCUGGGAAUAUUGGGUGCUGUGUGGU